CUGUAUCCUUACAAAGUCCAUUUAGGAAAGGAUGAGAUCAGCAGUCAGGCAAAUGGAAGAAGAGUCUGAUAUUCAUGAAGCCAAUUCUGUAUGAACACUGGCAAGGAGGCCUGCUAAGAAAAUAUCCAAGACCAAGGUUGAAUUGAUCUGGACAGAUGGACACAGGGCUUCUAGUCAAUUUGAAGGUUGGGCUGAGGACCAGACAAGGCCUGGGAGUGCCUGCAUGGGCAGCAAACAAUAGAGAAGGGUGAUCUCCAGCAGCUGCUGAUUGUGCCGGAUCCAGCAGCUGCAGCCCACUAUUGUCAGCAUUACAUGCCUGAUUGCGACAGACAGCUCACCUACGUGUUGCACGCCCAGGAUCCCGAAGAGUAUGAGAUUCCAACUCGAGCUACACCUACAAAGGCAGCCACUGAGUCCUGGGAAGAGAAUCCUGGAGUUAUUACUGCAACCACUGUCGCAGUUGGCUUUAACCUCACAGACAACUAUGAGGACCUUUUUGGAGAACAGUACGAGAUUGGUGAGGACUCAGACCUGGAUGCCAAUGGCACUUACAGAGCAUACGAGGAGAGACUUGACUACAGAGACAGGGAAUAUGAGGACUACUAUGACCGAAGGGAUGCGAAUGAGGAAGAGCGGUAUGAUCCGGCUGAGCGCAGUGAAGACACCCUCCAGCUCCCCCCGGAAAAGAAUCUGAAAGGAGAGAAAGGGGAGCCAGCCAUCAUAGAGCCAGUGAGUAUGGUACAUGUUCUGUAGUGGCACUGGUGCUCCUCCAUCAGUAUGACUAGGGGCUGAAAGCCACUUGGUGAUGGGGUGGAAGGGGGUGGAAGAUACCAGCAAUAAGUUAUGGGAAGGUUUUUGGGUGUGUGGCAGGCUGUCAGUAGUAAAUAUGGGAGACAGU
RNAcentral lists this long non-coding RNA (898 nucleotides) under Podarcis muralis (Common wall lizard). RNAcentral's name for it is "lncRNA (ENSPMRG00000007266.1)". Lineage: Eukaryota; Metazoa; Chordata; Lepidosauria; Squamata; Lacertidae. The record is from RNAcentral.